This 246-nucleotide long non-coding RNA is filed under the name Brassica rapa (field mustard). RNAcentral describes it as "long non-coding RNA (BRAP_LNC006610)". The record is from RNAcentral. Lineage: Eukaryota; Viridiplantae; Streptophyta; Magnoliopsida; Brassicales; Brassicaceae.
CUUCUUCACACUAUAAAACAACAAAAAAACCUCGCAAGAACAAAUUGAUAUUAACUAUUUUUAGUCAUAUUCCACGAGGGAAAUUAGGCCAAAUAACAAACAAAAAAAUUACAAUUCACUAAAUAACCACAACCCCCACCCUCUCUUUUCUUUUCUCUUUCUAUCUCUCUUUACCUUCUUACUAUAAAUCUAAUUUUCCCCUUUUUUAUGGUUAUUCUACAAAUAAGCCCAUUCCACAAUCCCAUA